RNAcentral lists this long non-coding RNA (2385 nucleotides) under Sus scrofa (pig). Its description in RNAcentral is "lncRNA (ENSSSCG00050065687.1)". Lineage: Eukaryota; Metazoa; Chordata; Mammalia; Artiodactyla; Suidae. The record is from RNAcentral.
GCGGCCCCCGGCGCCCCCGGCGCCCUCGGCGCCCACAGGUGCGGCGCCCUCGGCUCCCGCCGGGUCCCCCCCGGCUCCCCGCCCGCUUCCCUGGCCUGGACCCCUGGAGCAGUAGGAGGGAGACUCUGGGGCCGGGAGAGGGACCGUGCAGGAUCAGGGAAAGUAUUCCAAGGGUGCUGUGGCCCCUGGAGCAUGAGGAAUCUCUUGCCCACCUCCGCCUGCAGGAAACCUUUGCAGUGAUCAAGGGCUGCAGACAAGAAAGAACACACAGAACUCCAGAGGGAUGUUCACCUUGAGGAAAGAGUGAACUGUAUCCAUGACCCGGUGUUGUAUCUGUGCUGCUGGAAUAAGGAUUGGCUACAGGAAGCUGAACAAAAAACCCAUCUCCUUGGUGCCCAGGAAGGUGUACCAAACUAGUUCUCUCUUAUUGAACAUUAAUGCAUGUGGUUUUUAGCUAUUAGAAGUAGUGUCAUCAAUACCCCUGUACAUGGAUUUUUGCACAUUUUUUUUUCCCACAUUUUACAUGUUGCCUUGUGCCAUAGCACCUACAGAAAAGUUGCUGCUUCCUUGGACUUGGUCUAAUUUUAUUAGAAGAAAAAAAUUCUUUUAUAAAGACUUAAACAGUUCUUUCUCUUUGAGUUCAUAAAUGGAGGAAACAUUAAGAUUGCUUCAGUCUCUGUUUUUAUUUGAAUAUGAAUAUUUGUUAAGCCUCCUUUCCAUUUUUGUUGGAAAUGGAAUGCAUUUAUAAUAUGGUUAUAAUACUUAGUUACUAAUAUUCCAGAAAGAAGAAUAUAUACUUUUAUGACCUCUGAUUUCACUUUCACCCAAGUCUGUAUCUCAAGUAUAUAUUUUUUACAAGCAUUUCUCUAGGAAUUUCAGCCAUGUGGAAGAAGCUCAGUGGUAAAAUUAAAGAAACCUUUGUUUGCACUUUGUGUUUCUGAAGUUAAUAGAAAUUAGAAAUUUAAAGCAGGCAGCUGUUGCUUUGCACCCUCAGGCGCUUCCUGGGUAAAGUCUGAAAUUGGCCCCCAUACCUGGAGGGCAAGGAGAGGUCAAAGAAAAAGGCAGGCCACUUGAGAUUGGUAGGUGGCAGUUUUAAUAAGCAAAAGAACUUUACAUAUAAGGCUUCUUUUGGGUGGCCAGCUGGAUAAGUAGAUCUCUGCACCCACCUGCCAGAAUCUUAAGAGUUUAUAUAGAGGCCUUAUUGAGCUUCAGUCAGGUAUUCAGUCCAGAUGGUUUCAGUAACAUAUUACUUGCUCUUUCAAGGCUAAAUCCUUGAAAUAGUCCCAGCUAUGGGAAUGGUGGGCAGACUCUAUAUUCCAAGGACAGGGUGAGGAUGAGGAGCCUCAGAUUGCUCAAGUCCAACUUUUGGGUCAGCUGGCAAUCAUGACCUCUUGAGUACCUGCCCCAAGAGCAGCAGAGCCCUAGAGAGAAAGCAAUAAUAUCAGGAGUCUCUCCAAUCAGAUUUACUAAUAUGCAGUUGAUGUAUAACAUUGUAUAAGUUAAGAUAUGCAACAUAAUGAUUUGAUUAUACAUAUGCGAUCACCUCAAUGUUUAGUUAACAUCCAUCACCUCACAUAGAUACAGUUUUUUCCUUGCAAUAAUACCUUUUAAGAUUUACUCUCUUAUGGAGUUCCUGUUGUGGUGCAGUGGAAACGAAUCCGACUAGGAACCAUGAGGUUGUGGGUUCAAUCCUUGGCUUUGCUUGGUGGGUUAAGGAUCCAGUGUUGCCAUGAGCUGUGGUGUAGGUCACAGAUGCAGCUCUAAUCCUGCAUUGCUGUGACUAUAGCGCAGGCUGGUAGCUACAGCUCUUAUUAGACCCCUCACCUGGGAACUUCCAUAUGCUGUAAGUGUGGCCCUAAAAAGACAAAAGACAAAAAAAAAAAAAAAAAAAGAGUUACUCUCUUAUAUAAGUGAUAUUAUAUCGUAUUUGUCUUUCUCCUUCUGACUUCUUCACUUAGUAUGAGAGUCUCUAGUUCCAUCCAUGUUGCUGCAAAUGGCAUUAUUUUGCUCUUUUUUAUGGCUGAGUAGUAUUCCAUUGUGUACAUAUACAUCUUAAUCCAUUCAUCUGCCAAUAGACAUUCCACAGAAAAGAAAAUCAUGGAUAUGGAGAACAGACUUGUGGUUGCCAAGGGGGAGGGGGAGAGAGUCAGUUGGAUGGAUUGGGAAUUUGGGGUUAAUAGAUGCAAACUAUUGCCUUUGAAAUGAAUAAGCAGUGGGAUCCUGCUGUAUAGCACCAGGAACUGGUUACUUGUGAUGGAGCAUGGUAGUGUGAGAAAAAAGAAUGUAUGCAUGUACAUGUGACUGGGUCACCUUGCUGUUCAGUAGAAAAUUGACGGAGCACUGUAGUCUAGCUGUAAUGGAAAAAAUAAAAAUCAUUACUAAAAA